This 127-nucleotide ribosomal RNA is filed under the name Vibrio cholerae. Its description in RNAcentral is "Large Subunit Ribosomal RNA; lsuRNA; LSU rRNA". It matches the Rfam family "Bacterial large subunit ribosomal RNA", at positions 2759 to 2882 of the family's 2925-position model. The record is from RNAcentral. Lineage: Bacteria; Pseudomonadati; Pseudomonadota; Gammaproteobacteria; Vibrionales; Vibrionaceae.
UUGAUAAGCGCUGAAAGCAUCUAAGCGCGAAGCGAGCCCUGAGAUGAGUCUUCCCUGACAGUUUAACUGUUCUAAAGGGUUGUUCGAGACUAGAACGUUGAUAGGCAGGGUGUGUAAGCGUUGUGAG